GUGGGGAAUAUUGCACAAUGGGCGCAAGCCUGAUGCAGCCAUGCCGCGUGUGUGAAGAAGGCCUUCGGGUUGUAAAGCACUUUCAGCGGGGAGGAAGGCGGUGAGGUUAAUAACCUCAUCGAUUGACGUUACCCGCAGAAGAAGCACCGGCUAACUCCGUGCCAGCAGCCGCGGUAAUACGGAGGGUGCAAGCGUUAAUCGGAAUUACUGGGCGUAAAGCGCACGCAGGCGGUCUGUCAAGUCGGAUGUGAAAUCCCCGGGCUCAACCUGGGAACUGCAUUCGAAACUGGCAGGCUAGAGUCUUGUAGAGGGGGGUAGAAUUCCAGGUGUAGCGGUGAAAUGCGUAGAGAUCUGGAGGAAUACCGGUGGCGAAGGCGGCCCCCUGGACAAAGACUGACGCUCAGGUGCGAAAGCGUGGGGAGCAAACAGGAUUAGAUACCCCUGUAGUCC
RNAcentral lists this ribosomal RNA (450 nucleotides) under uncultured bacterium. RNAcentral describes it as "bacterial SSU rRNA". It matches the Rfam family "Bacterial small subunit ribosomal RNA", at positions 354 to 796 of the family's 1533-position model. The record is from RNAcentral.